GACGAACGCUGGCGGCGUGCUUAACACAUGCAAGUCGAACGGAAAGGCCCUGCUUGCAGGGUACUCGAGUGGCGAACGGGUGAGUAACACGUGGGUGAUCUGCCCUGCACUUCGGGAUAAGCCUGGGAAACUGGGUCUAAUACCGGAUAGGAGCCAUUUUUAGUGUGAUGGUUGGAAAGUUUUUUCGGUGUAGGAUGAGCUCGCGGCCUAUCAGCUUGUUGGUGGGGUAAUGGCCUACCAAGGCGGCGACGGGUAGCCGGCCUGAGAGGGUGGACGGCCACAUUGGGACUGAGAUACGGCCCAGACUCCUACGGGAGGCAGCAGUGGGGAAUAUUGCACAAUGGGCGCAAGCCUGAUGCGGCGAAGCCGCGUGGGGGAUGACGGCCUUCGGGUUGUAAACUCCUUUCGCUAGGGACGAAGCUUUUUGUGACGGUACCUAGAUAAGAAGCACCGGCUAACUACGUG
RNAcentral lists this ribosomal RNA (465 nucleotides) under uncultured bacterium. RNAcentral describes it as "partial 16S ribosomal RNA". It matches the Rfam family "Bacterial small subunit ribosomal RNA", at positions 28 to 507 of the family's 1533-position model. The record is from RNAcentral.